Molecule: transfer RNA, 74 nt
Filed under: Trichonephila clavata
Lineage: Eukaryota; Metazoa; Arthropoda; Arachnida; Araneae; Nephilidae
Description: tRNA-Thr
Rfam family: tRNA (bases 9-66)
About the family: Transfer RNA (tRNA) molecules are approximately 80 nucleotides in length.
Source: RNAcentral
GCCCCAUCUAGUAUGGUGGUUAUGACACUCGGUUCGUAAUCGAGUGUGCUCGGGUUCGAAUCCCGAAUAAGGUA